Molecule: ribosomal RNA, 394 nt
Filed under: uncultured bacterium
Lineage: Bacteria
Description: partial 16S ribosomal RNA
Rfam family: Bacterial small subunit ribosomal RNA
Source: RNAcentral
AUACGGAGGAUGCAAGCGUUAUCCGGAUUUAUUGGGUUUAAAGGGUGCGUAGGCGGAUGAUUAAGCGUGAGGUGAAAUGCCACUGCUUAACAGUGGAACUGCCUCGCGAACUGGUUGUCUUGAGUGCUCCUGCCGUGGGAGGAAUGUGUGGUGUAGCGGUGAAAUGCAUAGAGAUCACACAGAACACCGAUUGCGAAGGCAUCUCACGAAGGGGUGAUUGACGCUGAGGCACGAAAGCGUGGGGAUCAAACAGGAUUAGAUACCCUGGUAGUCCACGCAGUAAACGAUGAUAACUAACCGCUGGGUCGUAGUGAUUCAGUGGCCAAGCGAAAGCGAUAAGUUAUCCACCUGGGGAGUACGACUGCAAGGUUGAAACUCAAAUGAAUUGACGGGG